CUGGCUAAGUUCGUGCCAGCAGCCGCGGUAAGACGAACUGUGCAAACGUUAUUCGGAAUCACUGGGCUUGAAGAGUGCGUAGGCGGUUUCGUAAGUAGGGUGUGAAAGCCCUCGGCUCAACCGGGGAAUUGCGUCCUAAACUGCGAGGCUAGAGUGAGGUAGGGGGUGUGUGGAACUUCCAGUGGAGCGGUGAAAUGUGUUGAUAUUGGAAGGAACGCCGGUGGCGAAAGCGACACACUGGACCUUGUCUGACGCUGAGGCACGAAAGCCAGGGGAGCAAACGGGAUUAGAUACCCCGGUAGUCCUGGCCGUAAACGAUGAGUACUAGUGGGGAGGAUCGCAAGGUCUUCCUCACGGAGCGAAAGUUUUAAGUACUCCGCCUGGGGAGUAUGGUCGCAAGGCU
RNAcentral lists this ribosomal RNA (403 nucleotides) under uncultured bacterium. RNAcentral describes it as "bacterial SSU rRNA". It matches the Rfam family "Bacterial small subunit ribosomal RNA", at positions 493 to 895 of the family's 1533-position model. The record is from RNAcentral.